CCAGCAGCCGCGGUAAUUCCAGCUCCAAUAGCGUAUAUUAAAGUUGUUGCAGUUAAAAAGCUCGUAGUUGGAUUUGUGGCGUACUGUGGGUUCCGGGCACUUGUUGUCUGAGUAACUUGCAGUUGCCAUCCUUGGGUGGAACCUGCCUGGCAUUAGGUUGUUGGGCAGGGGAUGCCCAUCGUUUACUGUGAAAAAAUUAGAGUGUUCAAAGCAGGCUUAUGCCGUUGAAUAUAUUAGCAUGGAAUAAUAAGAUAGGACUUUUUCGCUAUUUUGUUGGUUUGCGCGAAGAGGUAAUGAUUAAUAGGGACAGUUGGGGGUAUUUGUAUUCCAUUGUCAGAGGUGAAAUUCUUGGAUUUUUGGAAG
This 363-nucleotide ribosomal RNA is filed under the name uncultured eukaryote. RNAcentral's name for it is "SSU rRNA". It matches the Rfam family "Eukaryotic small subunit ribosomal RNA", at positions 567 to 934 of the family's 1831-position model. The record is from RNAcentral.